CCUACGGGAGGCAGCAGUGGGGAAUUUUGGACAAUGGGCGCAAGCCUGAUCCAGCAAUGCCGCGUGCAGGAUGAAGGCCUUCGGGUUGUAAACUGCUUUUGUACGGAACGAAACGGUGAGCUCUAAUAAAGUUUGCUAAUGACGGUACCGUAAGAAUAAGCACCGGCUAACUACGUGCCAGCAGCCGCGGUAAUACGUAGGGUGCGAGCGUUAAUCGGAAUUACUGGGCGUAAAGCGUGCGCAGGCGGUUAUAUAAGACAGAUGUGAAAUCCCCGGGCUCAACCUGGGACCUGCAUUUGUGACUGUAUAGCUAGAGUACGGUAGAGGGGGAUGGAACUCCGCGUGUAGCAGUGAAAUGCGUAGAUAUGCGGAGGAACACCGAUGGCGAAGGCAAUCCCCUGGACCUGUACUGACGCUCAUGCACGAAAGCGUGGGGAGCAAACAGGAUUAGAUACCCUGGUAGUCCACGCCCUAAACGAUGUCAACUGGUUGUUGGGUCUUCACUGACUCAGUAACGAAGCUAACGCGUGAAGUUGACCGCCUGGGGAAGUACGGCCGCAAGGUUGAAACUUCAAAGGAUUGACGGNNGAGAGNGCGAGCGACGACGAGGGAGAGG
RNAcentral lists this ribosomal RNA (616 nucleotides) under uncultured bacterium. RNAcentral's name for it is "bacterial SSU rRNA". It matches the Rfam family "Bacterial small subunit ribosomal RNA", at positions 338 to 946 of the family's 1533-position model. The record is from RNAcentral.